AAAGAAAAAACCCCUCUUCUCAGAUCGGACAAAUGGGGGGUUUCAACAAAAUUUCCUUUUUUCUUCGCUGCUCUUGGUCUACGAAUCAGAAGAGCAGCUGCUGAAUCACAAUUCUGGGUUUUACAUACAAAAUUCAAUGCUUCCCUUACCCACCCACCGACUCUGCCCAUUUCAAAAGCUGCCGCUGUACUCUGCACAAAUUGGGGCAAGAUUGUCUCCAACACAAUGCGUGCCCCUUUUGGGCCCUCUGAUUGAUGAAGAAACAUGCAUUGAUUAAUCAAAAAGACUACUCAGUUGGAACUUGCUUUAACAAGGGCUCAAUCAGAUGGGGACAUGAAGUCAAGGGUGGGCGUUGGCGUUGGCACAAAUCUAAGGCUUUAGUGGGUUGCUGGUUACCACAUGCUCCCAGGAACCUCUCUCCACAAUCCUUGCAGCUUUGCUUGCAAUCCACAAGAGAACCACAAAAUUGCAUUCAUGUGGAUCCAGGAAAAGAGGCAAACUGGGGCCGAGGCCGAUUUGGCUUUUUCACUUGAGGGGCCGUGUGUCACGCAUAUUAUCCCAGGCCGGAAUACUCCUUCGGCUCUCCACCGAACCCAAGAGGUAAAU
Molecule: long non-coding RNA, 606 nt
Organism: Cucurbita maxima (winter squash)
Lineage: Eukaryota; Viridiplantae; Streptophyta; Magnoliopsida; Cucurbitales; Cucurbitaceae
Exons: 4
Source: RefSeq, a predicted model, not a curated record